Molecule: small RNA, 146 nt
Filed under: Arabidopsis thaliana (thale cress)
Lineage: Eukaryota; Viridiplantae; Streptophyta; Magnoliopsida; Brassicales; Brassicaceae
Description: ATSL300940
Source: RNAcentral
UUGUUCCCGCUUCUCUUUGCUUCAGCGGGAGACGGAUCGGAUUCUGUCCUUGAAAGCCUUAGCUUCACUCUUUCCGACCAACUCUUCUUCCCUGCUUUUGGUCUCUGCAACGCUUUUUUCCUCCGUUCUUCUUCUUCUGCGCUGUU